Molecule: non-coding RNA, 631 nt
Organism: Zootermopsis nevadensis
Lineage: Eukaryota; Metazoa; Arthropoda; Insecta; Blattodea; Termopsidae
Source: RefSeq, a predicted model, not a curated record
AAUUUAACAUAAUUAUUACAAUAAUUUGAACUUAUUUUGGAUAUUGUCAAUCAUCUUAGGUUAAUUCUUAAAAAUGUUUUAGAAACUGGAUCUUCCCAUCAAGUGAAGAACAGACAAAGGAAUGUCUAAUCUAAUGGGUCCCUUAGACAGAAAUAAGUCUCCAUCUUUAGACCUAUCAAUAGGUUAUAAUGAAUUGCUGACCUUCAAGCACAUCUUGGAAGGGCAUCACAAUGGAGUCUGCACAAAUGAUAGGAAUGCAGCCAGCUGCAAGAGCUUCCAACAGUGUGGGCUGUCCAAGUCUUGCCCCUCGAAUCACUAAACAAAACUUGGAACGCUGCAAAGAAGAAAUCUCAAGUUCCUAUUUAAAAUACAACUGCAAAUGCAUAAAGAAUAUCUUUCCAACCUCUACAAAUAAAUGACUGCUGCAAACCCCAGCAGCAGAACUGAAAGUGUGGGCAGCUACAAGUACUUUACUAUCCUGUCAUUUUGAAAACAUGUAAAACAUUAUCCGGUGUCCAGCUGCAGCUUGUUCCUUUGUUUUUAGUUUUCAUAUUGUUAUAAAUGGUCAGAAUUUCAACAGACAAACACAAAGAAGAAUAAACUUCUCACCAAUGGACAUGAUACUGACAAA